RNAcentral lists this ribosomal RNA (405 nucleotides) under uncultured bacterium. RNAcentral describes it as "bacterial SSU rRNA". It matches the Rfam family "Bacterial small subunit ribosomal RNA", at positions 355 to 776 of the family's 1533-position model. The record is from RNAcentral.
UCGAGAAUAUUCGACAAUGGGCGAAAGCCUGAUCGAGCGACGCCGCGUGCAGGAUGAAGGCCUUCGGGUCGUAAACUGCGGUAGUAGGUGAGCAAUGUAAAUGAGCAACCUACGGAAAGAGGUGGGUAACUACGUGCCAGCACCAGCGGUAAUACGUAGACCUCAAGCGUUAUCCGGAUUUAUUGGGCGUAAAGCGUGUGUAGGAGGUUCGGUGCGUCUCAUGUUAAAGCCCACUGCCUAACGGUGGAUCUGCAUGGGAUACGACCGAGCUCGAGGGGGUUAGAGGUGCAUGGAACUCACGGUGUAGGGGUGAAAUCCGUUGAUAUCGUGGGGAACACCAAAGGCGAAGGCAGUGCACUGGGACCUUCCAGACUCUGAGACACGAAAGCGUGGGGAGCAAAAAGG